This 478-nucleotide ribosomal RNA is filed under the name uncultured bacterium. RNAcentral's name for it is "partial 16S ribosomal RNA". It matches the Rfam family "Bacterial small subunit ribosomal RNA", at positions 28 to 523 of the family's 1533-position model. The record is from RNAcentral.
GACGAACGCUGGCGGCGUGCUUAACACAUGCAAGUCGAACGGUAAGGCCCUUCGGGGUACACGAGUGGCGAACGGGUGAGUAACACGUGGGUGAUCUGCCCUGCACUUCGGGAUAAGCCUGGGAAACUGGGUCUAAUACCGGAUAGGACCACUGCCUGCAUGGGUGGGGGUGGAAAGCUUGUGCGGGGGGGGAUGGGCCCGCGGCCUAGCAGGUUGUUGGUGGGGUGAUGGCCUACCAAGGCGACGACGGGUAGCCGGCCUGAGAGGGUGACCGGCCACACUGGGACUGAGAUACGGCCCAGACUCCUACGGGAGGCAGCAGUGGGGAAUAUUGCACAAUGGGCGCAAGCCUGAUGCAGCGACGCCGCGUGAGGGAUGACGGCCUUCGGGUUGUAAACCUCUUUCAGCACCGACGAAGCGCAAGUGACGGUAGGUGCAGAAGAAGGACCGGCCAACUACGUGCCAGCAGCCGCCGUAA